GACAGAGGGUGCAAACGUUGUUCGGAAUUACUGGGCGUAAAGGGCUCGUAGGCGGCCAACUAAGUCGGAUGUGAAAUCCCCAGGCUCAACCUGGGAACUGCAUCCGAUACUGGAUGGCUUGAAUUCGGGAGAGGGAUGCAGAAUUCCAGGUGUAGCGGUGAAAUGCGUAGAUAUCUGGAGGAAUACCGGUGGCGAAGGCGGCAUCCUGGACCGACAUUGACGCUGAGGAGCGAAAGCCAGGGGAGCAAACGGG
Molecule: ribosomal RNA, 253 nt
Filed under: uncultured bacterium
Lineage: Bacteria
Description: partial 16S ribosomal RNA
Rfam family: Bacterial small subunit ribosomal RNA
Source: RNAcentral